CCAACCCGCGAGGGGGAGCUAAUCCCCAGAAAGUGUAUCGUAGUCCGGAUUGGAGUCUGCAACUCGACUCCAUGAAGUUGGAAUCGCUAGUAAUCGCGGAUCAGCAUGUCGCGGUGAAUACGUUCCCGGGUCUUGUACACACCGCCCGUCACACCAUGGGAGCGGGUUUUACCAGAAGUAGGUAGCUUAACCGCAAGGAGGGCGCUUACCACGGUAGGAUUCGUGACUGGGGUGAAGUCGUAACAAGGUAGCCGUAUCGGAAGGUGCGGCUGGAUCACCUCCUUUCUG
RNAcentral lists this ribosomal RNA (288 nucleotides) under uncultured bacterium. Its description in RNAcentral is "partial 16S ribosomal RNA". It matches the Rfam family "Bacterial small subunit ribosomal RNA", at positions 1250 to 1533 of the family's 1533-position model. The record is from RNAcentral.